UACAGAGGUCUCAAGCGUUGUUCGGAUUCAUUGGGCGUAAAGGGUGCGUAGGUGGCGGGGCAAGUCAGGUGUGAAAUCCCGGAGCUUAACUCCGGAACUGCAUUUGAUACUGCCUUGCUGGAGUACUGGAGAGGAGACUGGAAUUUACGGUGUAGCAGUGAAAUGCGUAGAGAUCGUAAGGAAGACCAGUGGCGAAGGCGAGUCUCUGGACAGUUACUGACACUGAGGCACGAAGGCCAGGGGAGCAAACGGG
RNAcentral lists this ribosomal RNA (253 nucleotides) under uncultured bacterium. RNAcentral's name for it is "partial 16S ribosomal RNA". It matches the Rfam family "Bacterial small subunit ribosomal RNA", at positions 524 to 776 of the family's 1533-position model. The record is from RNAcentral.